GACCCGGCCUCGCGGGGAGGUUGUCGGGAGCACUUCCCUAACUUGCUCCUGGGUGGGAGGAAUGCUCCGCUCUUUUGUUCCCAGGAAGGGAAAAACGGGGCGGAGGUUCCUGCUGCCAUGUUGUGGCCCUGGUCUUCCGCCUGCGAGUGGUAGUUCCUUACACCCGGCCCCUUCUCGCGCGUCUUUCCACGAGCUCUCCACGGGGAGGAGGCGAAAGGGUGGACAGGGGAAAACUGCUGAAGAGCUUUCGGAGAGACCUCAUCCAGUCGCUGGCCUCGUCAAGGCAGUAAAAAUUCCUGGGGAAGACAUUUUCCACGUGAUGUUGCUCGUGUCUGUAGUUAAAGACUUUUCUAUUGAUCUCCGUGCUCAGUUUUAAAGAUAGUAGAAUGUGGCUUUUUCAAAAGAUUCGUUCUGAGCCGUUUGAAAUGCUCUGUGUUCUACGAAGUCUAUUUGCAUCCUUGAACACCGGGGAAUUUCCAGGUGGCUAAACAAAAUGUAAUUGUCUGUUUGUGUUUUGAGUACGUUCUAGGUUAGUCUUAACUGAUCUGCAAUGCAGUGACAGUGCCAGGAUCUGAAAUACGUUAUAAUUGAAUGAAGGCUUGUAGAUCUGUAUGUUAGCAGUGUCUUAAUUUUGGUGCUCUUUCUCGUUCCAGGUAUUUCAUUUCUCCCGUCCCCUCCCCUCCCCACCCCAUCUAUUAAUAUUAUUCUUUUGAAGAUUCUUCGUUGUCAAGCCGCCAAAGUGGAGAGUGCGAUUGCAGAAGGGGGUGCUUCUCGUUUCAGGUAUGUGUAGAUUUAUUUUGGGGAAUCCUUUUGAAAAGGACAGUCCUAAAAACUAGUUACCAUAGCAAAUAAGUCCGACUUAAUGGGCUGCAAUUUUCAUUUGAAAAGUUCUUAAGUUUUCAUUGACAGCCUUCUAAGAACUGCCAUCUGAAGAAUAAAUAAAAUCAAUUAUUUGCAUUUCCUUUGGGUCCAAGUUCAGUCUUCAUUUGUAGCAUAAUAUACAAGCACUAAAAUACAGGCCUGGCUCCAGUCUGGGCAAAAUAGCGAGACCCCCCCAUCUCUACAAGCAAAGCAAAACACAAAAUAAUCUUUAUUCUUUUUGAGUGAGACAUAGUUGGGAUACAGUAAACAAAAAUUUUUUUCUUUUAAAUAGUGCUUCUUCGGGCGGAGGAGGAAGUAGGGGUGCACCUCAGCACUAUCCCAAGACUGCUGGCAACAGGUGUGGUAAACAUGUUAAAAAAAAAACAGCUUUAUUUAACAGAUUAAAAGUCUUUCCCAUGUGAUGGUAUAAUUAAGGCAAUAGCCAUUAAGACUCCUAAUCUUAAGGGGCAUGGUUUCUUUUGGGUAUCCUAAAUACAGAAUAUCAGGUCCUGAUUAUUCCUUGGCCAAAUUAUCUAAGUGAGUUGAGACUCUCAAACUGUUACUUUUUUCCUUAUUCUUUGGGUUAUUUUUACUAAUGUUUUUUUCUGAAAUCAGUAGCUAUUAUUCCUACUAAUUAUUAUUAGUAAAGUAGUACGCACACAACAUGGUCAAUAAAACAUUAGAAAGUGUUAACUGGCAGCCGGUACAGUGGCUCACACCUGUAAUCCCAACAACAACUUUGGGAAGCAAAGGUGGGAGGGUCAGUUGAGCCCAGGAGUUUGAGAUCAGCCUGGGCAACACAGCAAGACCCCAUCUCUUAAAAAAAAAAGUUAAUUUUCAAAAUGUGGUUCCACAGCGUUGAUACUGGGAAUAUUUACUAGACAUGGAAAUUCUUAGGCCCCACCCCAAACCAGUGAAAGCAGAAACUGGGUGGGCCCAGCAAUCUGUUUUAACAAGCCCUUCAGGUGAUUCUGAUGCACACUACUGUUCCAGAACCACUAAUCUCCAGAGUUGGCUUUCUUGGAGGGGAGAUCGAGAAAGCCUAAAUUACUUUUUUCUAUGUAAGAGAAUUUACGAUGUUUAACAUUUGGUGUGUGACAAUAAGUGUUUUUGCUGAUUUUUAUUAAUCAGCGAGUUCCUGGGGAAAACCCCAGGGCAAAACGCUCAGAAAUGGAUUCCUGCACGAAGCACUAGACGAGAUGACAACUCCGCAGCAAACAACUCCGCAAACGAAAAAGAACGACAUGAUGCAAUCUUCAGGAAAGUAAGAGGCAUACUAAAUAAGCUUACUCCUGAAAAGUUUGACAAGCUAUGCCUUGAGCUCCUCAAUGUGGGUGUAGAGUCUAAACUCAUCCUUAAAGGGGUCAUACUGCUGGUAAGUUUUAAAUAUUGGCUUAACUCAAAAGGGAGAGGGAACUGUUUAACAAACUCAGUUGUGUUUUUUUACACUUGGAUUACUACUUGAAACCCUUAGGUGUGAGUUAGAUAGGUAUGUAUUUUUGAAUACUGAUGGUGAUGAAGAAGAACCACUGACUUUAGUAGCAUUAGAUUGAAGAGGUAAAUAUUAAGUUCAUGGUAUGCUUGAAGAGGUAAAUGUUAAGUUCAUGGUAUGCUUGAAGAGGUAAAUGUUAAGUUCAUGGUAUGCUUGAAGAGGUAAAUGGGGGUGCUUAGCAAGCUGUUCUUUUUCUUUUGUGGAAAACACCAUAUUUAGGUCUUAGAAAUGCAUUGUAUGACAGUUUAUGUAGACUUGAAAGUUUUGAUAUCCAUGGCAUUUUCUGACUCCCAAGAGAUGGAUGUGACUAGAUGAAAUCUGUAUAACUGGACAUUUUUGGUAGACUGUAAUAGCUAACAUUUAGGUGGUUGUAUUUUUCCUAAAGGAAGGGUUCUUGGAGAAGUUUUCGUAUUUAGUUUAAGCAAUGAUAUUUUCUGUAGAUUGUGGACAAAGCCCUAGAAGAGCCAAAGUAUAGCUCACUGUAUGCUCAGCUAUGUCUGCGAUUGGCAGAAGAUGCACCAAACUUUGAUGGCCCAGCAGCAGAGGGUCAACCAGGACAGAAGCAAAGCACCACAUUCAGACGCCUCCUAAUUUCCAAAUUACAAGAUGAAUUUGAAAACCGAACUAGAAAUGUUGAUGUCUAUGAUAAGCGUGAAAAUCCCCUCCUCCCUGAGGAGGAGGAACAGAGAGCCAUUGCUAAGAUCAAGAUGUUGGGAAACAUCAAAUUCAUUGGAGAGCUUGGCAAGCUUGAUCUUAUUCACGAAUCUAUCCUUCAUAAGUGCAUCAAAACAGUAAGUGUGACGGGGAAGUUAGGCUUAGGCGAAUGUUGUCAGUCAUUUGGAGGAAAUGAGUCAGUUAUUCAUCUUAGAGGGAGGUUGACUAGUUAAAUACAGAUGGGCAACAAAAUUUACUAAACAGAAUAAUUUGAAAUACGUGGUGUGUUUGACAAAGUAGGGUUAGAACUGAUCAACACAGACUGGUAGAAAGCCCUGUACUAGAUUCUGUAGGAACUAUGAAUGAGUCAGUGCAAACAUAAAGGGAAAGUACUAUGCCUAAACCAGAGUAACUAAAAUUUUGUCACCACGGCCUUUUAUUCUUAUAGCUUUUGGAAAAGAAGAAGAGAGUCCAACUCAAAGAUAUGGGAGAGGAUUUGGAGUGCCUCUGUCAGAUAAUGAGGACAGUGGGACCUAGAUUAGACCAUGAACGAGCCAAGUCCUUAAUGGAUCAGUACUUUGCCCGAAUGUGCUCCUUGAUGUUAAGUAAGGAAUUGCCAGCAAGGAUUCGUUUCCUGCUGCAGGAUACCGUAGAGUUGCGAGAACACCAUUGGGUUCCUCGCAAGGCUUUUCUUGACAAUGGACCAAAGACGAUCAAUCAAAUCCGUCAAGAUGCAGUAAAAGAUCUAGGGGUGUUUAUUCCUGCUCCUAUGGCUCAAGGGAUGAGAAGUGACUUCUUUCUGGAGGGACCGUUCAUGCCACCCAGGAUGAAAAUGGAUAGGGACCCACUUGGAGGACUUGCUGAUAUGUUUGGACAAAUGCCAGGUAGCGGAAUUGGUACUGGUCCAGGAGUUAUCCAGGAUAGAUUUUCACCCACCAUGGGACGUCAUCGUUCAAAUCAACUCUUCAACGGCCAUGGGGGACACAUCAUGCCUCCCACACAAUCACAGUUUGGAGAGAUGGGAGGCAAGUUUAUGAAAAGCCAGGUAAGUAAUAUUUGAGUGUUGAGGCAACAAGUGUUAAAUUCUGCAAUAUAUGUGAUCUCAUUUGCUAUUAAAACGUGAAACUAUUUUAGGAGUGUGCAUGUUUUCUAAACCAUAUCUGCAACAUUUAUGUCAAACUGAAAUGUUUAUCCUUAAGAUUAGUAAAGUAUUAGUAAAAUCACAUCACUUUAUUUGACAGUUAGGUUAGAUUUUUAUUCUUCCCUGUUUCAUCUUUUACUUUCUCUGGGCAAAUUCAGUUAAACUUUCAUUUUGGCUUGGCUCAUCCCUUUGGUACUUGAUUACCAUGAUUUUUGGACCCGUUUUUAUCUAGACUUUCUUUCUCCUUUUCUGAAAUAGGGGCUAAGCCAGCUCUACCAUAACCAGAGUCAGGGACUCUUAUCCCAGCUGCAAGGACAGUCGAAGGAUAUGCCACCUCGGUUUUCUAAGAAAGGACAGCUUAAUGCAGAUGAGAUUAGCCUGAGGCCUGCUCAGUCGUUCCUAAUGAAUAAAAAUCAAGUGCCAAAGCUUCAGCCCCAGAUAACUAUGAUUCCUCCUAGUGCACAACCACCACGCACUCAAACACCACCUCUGGGACAGACACCUCAGCUUGGUCUCAAAACUAAUCCACCACUUAUCCAGGAAAAGCCUGCCAAGACCAGCAAAAAGCCACCACCAUCAAAGGAAGAACUCCUUAAACUAACUGAAACUGUUGUGACUGAAUAUCUAAAUAGUGGAAAUGCAAAUGAGGCUGUCAAUGGUGUAAGAGAAAUGAGGGCUCCUAAACACUUUCUUCCUGAGAUGUUAAGCAAAGUAAUCAUCCUGUCACUAGAUAGAAGCGAUGAAGAUAAAGAAAAAGCAAGUUCUUUGAUCAGUUUACUCAAACAGGAAGGGAUAGCCACAAGUGACAACUUCAUGCAGGCUUUCCUGAAUGUAUUGGACCAGUGUCCCAAACUGGAGGUUGACAUCCCUUUGGUGAAAUCCUAUUUAGCACAGUUUGCAGCUCGUGCCAUCAUUUCAGAGCUGGUGAGCAUUUCAGAACUAGCUCAACCACUAGAAAGUGGCACCCAUUUUCCUCUUUUCUUACUUUGUCUUCAGCAGUUAGCUAAAUUACAAGAUCGAGAAUGGUUAACAGAACUUUUUCAACAAAGCAAGGUCAAUAUGCAGAAAAUGCUCCCAGGUAAGAGAAUGCUGACUUGUUUGUUUUGUUUUUUUAAUAUUAUAUCUAGAGAUUUCAGUUACCUUGAGUGGAUUUUAUGUAGGUCAGUCUGUCCUGCUCAGAUAAUGAUAAACAUUACCACAGGUCUCACCUAUAAAAAGAGAUUUAUAAUUUAACUACUUUCAUUUGAUCCAUAUGUUGAGUUUUUUUCAUUUGCUGGGUUGGUUCUCUGUUCUGCUACAUGGAUCUUACAUACUUGGGGACAUCAUUUGUGAAGCUCUGCUUUCUGGACAGGACAACUUGGUAAAAUGAACUGUUAGAUGAUGCAGGUGGCUUUGUCUCUUCAGAAAUUGAUCAGAAUAAGGACCGCAUGUUGGAGAUUUUGGAAGGAAAGGGACUGAGUUUCUUAUUCCCACUCCUCAAAUUGGAGAAGGAACUGUUGAAGCAAAUAAAGUUGGAUCCAUCCCCUCAAACCAUAUAUAAAUGGAUUAAAGAUAACAUCUCUCCCAAACUUCAUGUAGAUAAAGGAUUUGUGAACAUCUUAAUGACUAGCUUCUUACAGUACAUUUCUAGUGAAGUAAACCCCCCCAGCGAUGAAACAGAUUCAUCCUCUGCUCCUUCCAAAGAACAGUUAGAGCAGGAAAAACAACUACUACUUUCUUUCAAGCCAGUAAUGCAGAAAUUUCUUCAUGAUCACGUUGAUCUGCAAGUCAGUGCCCUGUAUGCUCUUCAGGUGCACUGCUAUAACAGCAACUUCCCAAAAGGCAUGUUACUUCGCUUUUUUGUGCACUUCUAUGACAUGGAAAUUAUUGAAGAAGAAGCUUUCUUGGCUUGGAAAGAAGAUAUAACCCAGGAGUUUCCGGGAAAAGGCAAGGCUUUGUUCCAGGUGAAUCAGUGGCUAACCUGGCUAGAAACUGCUGAAGAAGAAGAAUCAGAGGAAGAAGCUGACUAAAGAACCAGCCAAAGCCUUAAAUUGUGCAAAACAUACUGUUGCUAUGAUGUAACUGCAUUUGACCUAACCACUGCGAAAAUUCAUUCCGCUGUAAUGUUUUCACAAUAUUUAAAGCAGAAGCACGUCAGUUAGGAUUUCCUUCUGCAUAAGGUUUUUUUGUAGUGUAAUGUCUUAAUCAUAGUCUACCAUCAAAUAUUUUAGGAGUAUCUUUAAUGUUUAGAUAGUAUAUUAGCAGCAUGCAAUAAUUACAUCAUAAGUUCUCAAGCAGAGGCAGUCUAUUGCAAGGACCUUCUUUGCUGCCAGUUAUCAUAGGCUGUUUUAAGUUAGAAAACUGAAUAGCAACACUGAAUACUGUAGAAAUGCACUUUGCUCAGUAAUACUUGAGUUGUUGCAAUAUUUGAUUAUCCAUUUGGUUGUUACAGAAAAAUUCUUAACUGUAAUUGAUGGUUGUUGCCGUAAUAGUAUAUUGCCUGUAUUUCUACCUCUAGUAAUGGGCUUUAUGUGCUAGAUUUUAAUAUCCUUGAGCCUGGGCAAGUGCACAAGUCUUUUUAAAAGAAACAUGGUUUACUUGCACAAAACUGAUCAGUUUUGAGAGAUCGUUAAUGCCCUUGAAGUGGUUUUUGUGGGUGUGAAACAAAUGGUGAGAAUUUGAAUUGGUCCCUCCUAUUAUAGUAUUGAAAUUAAGUCUACUUAAUUUAUCAAGUCAUGUUCAUGCCCUGAUUUUAUAUACUUGUAUCUAUCAAUAAACAUUGUGAUACUUGA
Molecule: small RNA, 6919 nt
Filed under: Pongo abelii (Sumatran orangutan)
Lineage: Eukaryota; Metazoa; Chordata; Mammalia; Primates; Hominidae
Description: retained intron
Source: RNAcentral